This 333-nucleotide unclassified non-coding RNA is filed under the name rhizosphere metagenome. RNAcentral's name for it is "partial ribosomal RNA internal transcribed spacer region". The record is from RNAcentral.
GUAGGUGAACCUGCGGAAGGAUCAUUAACACGUACACGUUUUAAUAACCCGAGAAUUUCUUAGGAUUAGCUUAUUCGAGAAAAAGGGGGCUCUUUUUUUGCUCACGCUUAAAAAAGCUCCCCCGGCUCUUCUCGGUUCGAUCGACCUGAGCUGUGGCUAUUGAAUUAGCUUCCUAUGAAUAAACGACUCAUUUAUUUUAAACCAAGACUUUCGGGUCUUUUUUUAUAUAAAUGAAACUUGAAACCCCUUUUUUCUAAACCUAAAAGCCGUCUCUUUGUAGACCGCUUUUAACCGAAUGCUGUACAACUCUUAGCAACGGAUAUCUUGGUUCUG